UCCCUGGAGGACUAGUGGUUAGGCCUUGGAGCUCUCACCGGUGCCGCCUGGGUUCAACUCCCAGUCAGGGAA
This 72-nucleotide transfer RNA is filed under the name Pangasianodon hypophthalmus (striped catfish). Its description in RNAcentral is "tRNA-Glu". The record is from RNAcentral. Lineage: Eukaryota; Metazoa; Chordata; Actinopteri; Siluriformes; Pangasiidae.